GAAUAGAAAUCAACCGAGAUUCCGUCAGUAGUGGCGAGCGAACGCGGAUCAGGCUAAACCGGCCACGUGGAAUACCCGGCAGGGGUUGCGUGGUGGGGGUUGUUGGGUGCACUUGGUGUGGUACUGCCGUAUCACGCAGUGGAUAUGCCAUGUAGACGAAGAGGUUUGGAUGCCUCACCGUAGAGGGUGACAGUCCCGUAGUUGAA
RNAcentral lists this ribosomal RNA (206 nucleotides) under Ditylum brightwellii. RNAcentral's name for it is "partial Bacterial large subunit ribosomal RNA". It matches the Rfam family "Bacterial large subunit ribosomal RNA", at positions 216 to 383 of the family's 2925-position model. The record is from RNAcentral. Lineage: Eukaryota; Bacillariophyta; Thalassiosirophyceae; Lithodesmiales; Lithodesmiaceae.